This 393-nucleotide ribosomal RNA is filed under the name uncultured bacterium. Its description in RNAcentral is "bacterial SSU rRNA". It matches the Rfam family "Bacterial small subunit ribosomal RNA", at positions 28 to 422 of the family's 1533-position model. The record is from RNAcentral.
GACGAACGCUGGCGGCGUGCUUAACACAUGCAAGUCGAGCGGUAAGGCCCUUUCGGGGGUACACGAGCGGCGAACGGGUGAGUAACACGUGGGUGACCUGCCCUCAGCUCUGGGAUAAGCCUGGGAAACCGGGUCUAAUACCGGAUAUGACUCCAUGACGCAUGUUGUGGGGUGGAAAGCCUUGUGCGGCUGAGGAUGGGCCCGCGGCCUAUCAGCUUGUUGGUGGGGUGAUGGCCUACCAAGGCGACGACGGGUAGCCGGCCUGAGAGGGCGACCGGCCACACUGGGACUGAGACACGGCCCAGACUCCUACGGGAGGCAGCAGUGGGGAAUCUUGCGCAAUGGGCGAAAGCCUGACGCAGCGACGCCGCGUGAGGGAUGACGGCCUGGUGU